AUUAAUAUUGUGUCUUCUUCAUCUCUUCAGCUUUCUCUCUGUCUUCUUCUUAAUAUUGUUGCAGACGACCAUCCUUUCAAUUCCUAUUUGUCCUUGGAUGUUCUGACUUGGCAUAUUACUAAUAAUCGCCUUUUCUCCGUUAAGACAGCACAGCUUAUUGGGCGACAAUCUCAGCAGGAGAGUCGAUAAAUUCUUGAACCGCAACACCAUCUGGC
Molecule: long non-coding RNA, 215 nt
Filed under: Panax ginseng (ginseng)
Lineage: Eukaryota; Viridiplantae; Streptophyta; Magnoliopsida; Apiales; Araliaceae
Description: long non-coding RNA (PGIN_LNC000447)
Source: RNAcentral